AGGUUGGCUCAGAAGCAGCCAUCCUUUAAAGAGUGCGUAACAGCUCACUAGUCGAAUGACUCUGCGCCGAUAAUUUACCGGGGCUAAGCAUACUACCGAAGCUAUGGAUCCCAAGGGAUGGUAGGGGAGCGUUCCAUGAACGGAGAAGUACGACCGAAAGGACGUGUGGAGAUCAUGGAAGAGAGAAUGCCGGUGUGAGUAGCGGAACGUGGGUGAGAAUCCCACGCACCGAAAACCCAAGGUUUCCAGAGGAAGGUUCGUCCGCUCUGGGUAAGUCGGGACCUAAGGCGAGGCCGAAAGGCGUAGUCGAUGGACAACAGGUAGAGAUUCCUGUACCCGUAUAUAUGUGAAGGAAUGACGGAGAGAGGAAGCUGCAGCCAGCGGCUGGAAGAGCUGGUGCAAGCGAGAUAUCGGGAUGGCAGGCAAAUCCACCAUCCGAAACGAGAAGGCGUGAAGCGUACGGAAAGCUACGGCGAGUACGGAAGGCAGUGGAGGAACUUCCAAGAAAAGUUUCUAACGUUAAGUAUAUAUGGCCCGUACCGAAAAUGGACACACAUGGGUGAGGAGAGAAUCCUAAGGUGAGCGAGAGAACUAUAGCUAAGGAACUCUGCAAAAUGACUCCGUAACUUAGGGAGAAGGAGUGCUCAUAGAGAUAUGAGCCGCAGUGAAACGGCCCAAGCGACUGUUUACCAAAAACACAGCUCUCUGCUAAGCCGCAAGGCGAAGUAUAGGGGGUGACGCCUGCCCGGUGCUGGAAGGUUAAGGGGAGGGGUUAACGCAAGUGAAGCCCUGAACUGAAGCCCCAGUAAACGGCGGCCGUAACUAUAACGGUCCUAAGGUAGCGAAAUUCCUUGUCAGGUAAGUUCUGACCCGCACGAAAGGCGUAACGAUUUGGGCGCUGUCUCAGCUGUAGACUCGGUGAAGUCUUAGUACCUGUGAAGAUGCAGGUUACCCGCGACUAGACGGAAAGACCCCAUGGAGCUUCACUGCAGGUUGAUAUUGGGAUUUGAUGCAGCAUGUACAGGAUAGGUAGGAGGCAAAGAGAUGGAUACGCCAGUAUUCAAGGAGCCGCUGUUGGGAUACUACCCCUGUUGUAUUGGAUUUCUAACCGGACGACGUAGAACCGUUGACGGGACAGUGUCAGUCGGGCAGUUUGACUGGGGCGGUCGCCUCCCAAAGAGUAACGGAGGCGCCCAAAGAUACCCUCAGCUUGGAUGGAAACCAAGCGCAGAGUGCAAAGGCAAAAGGGUGUUUGACUGCGAGACCCACAAGUCGAGCAGGGACGAAAGUCGGGCUUAGUGAUCCGGCGGUGCUGAAUGGAAAGGCCGUCGCUCAACGGAUAAAAGCUACCCUGGGGAUAACAGGCUGAUCUCCCCCAAGAGUCCACAUCGACGGGGAGGUUUGGCACCUCGAUGUCGGCUCAUCGCAUCCUGGGGCUGUAUUCGGUCCCAAGGGUUUGGCUGUUCGCCAAUUAAAGCGGUACGCGAGCUGGGUUCAGAACGUCGUGAGACAGUUCGGUCCCUAUCUGUCGUGGGCGCAGGAAAUUUGAGAAGAGCUGUCCUCAGUACGAGAGGACCGGGAUGGACGCAUCAAUGGUGGACCAGUUGUCACGCCAGUGGCAUAGCUGGGUAGCUAAAUGCGGAAGGGAUAAACGCUGAAGGCAUCUAAGUGUGAAACCCACUUCAAGAUGAGAUUUCCCAUUGCGCAAGCAAGUAAGACCCCUUAAAGACGAUAAGGUAGAUAGGUCAGGAGUGUAAGCAUGGUGACAUGUUAAGCGGACUGAUACUAAUAGGUCGAGGGCUUGACCGA
This 1809-nucleotide ribosomal RNA is filed under the name human gut metagenome. RNAcentral describes it as "bacterial LSU rRNA". It matches the Rfam family "Bacterial large subunit ribosomal RNA", at positions 1098 to 2925 of the family's 2925-position model. The record is from RNAcentral.